CAUGCAAGUCGAACGAAAUCAAAAAAUAAGUAAUUAUUUUUUUGUUUUAGUGGCGGACGGGUGAGUAACGCGUAAGAAUCUACCUUUAGGAGGGGGAAAACAACUGGAAACGGUUGCUAACACCCCAUAUGCUGAGGAGUAAAAUACAUUGUGCCUAGAGAUGAGCUUGCGUCUGAUUAGUUAGUUGGUAAGGUAAUUGCUUCCCAAGACUAUGAUCAGUAGCUGGUCUGAGAGGAUGAUCAGCCACACUGGGACUGAGACACGGCCCAGACUCCUACGGGAGGCAGCAGUGAGGAAUUUUCCGCAAUGGGCGAAAGCCUGACGGAGCAAUGCCGCGUGGAGGAUGAAAGCCUAUGGGUUGUAAACUCCUUUUCUCAGAGAAGAAAUUUUGACGGUAUCUGAGGAAUAAGCAUCGGCUAACUCCGUGCCAGCAGCCGCGGUAAUACGGGGGAUGCAAGUGUUAUCCGGAAUAAUUGGGCGUAAAGCGUCUGUAGGUGGUUUACCAAGUCUGUUGUUAAAAAUCAGGGCUCAACCCUGAUCCGGCAACAGAAACUAGUAGACUUGAGUACGGUAGGGGCAGAGGGAAUUCUCGGUGUAGUGGUGAAAUACGUAGAUAUCGAGAAGAACACCAAUAGCGAAAGCACUCUGCUGGGCCGAAACUGACAUUGAGAGACGAAAGCUAGGGGAGCAAAAGGGAUUAGAUACCCCUGUAGUCCUAGCCGUAAACGAUGGAUACUAAGUGCUGUGCGACUCAAACGUCCAGUGCUGUAGCUAACGCGUGAAGUAUCCCGCCUGGGGAGUAUGCUCGCAAGAGUGAAACUCAAAGGAAUUGAC
This 834-nucleotide ribosomal RNA is filed under the name uncultured cyanobacterium. RNAcentral describes it as "bacterial SSU rRNA". It matches the Rfam family "Bacterial small subunit ribosomal RNA", at positions 54 to 914 of the family's 1533-position model. The record is from RNAcentral. Lineage: Bacteria; Bacillati; Cyanobacteriota.